CGGAGGGUGCAAGCGUUAUCCGGAUUCACUGGGUUUAAAGGGUGCGUAGGUGGGUUGGUAAGUCAGUGGUGAAAUCCCCGAGCUUAACUUGGGAACUGCCAUUGAUACUAUCAGUCUUGAAUAUUGUGGAGGUCAGCGGAAUAUGUCAUGUAGCGGUGAAAUGCUUAGAUAUGACAUAGAACACCAAUUGCGAAGGCAGCUGGCUACGCAUAUAUUGACACUGAGGCACGAAAGCGUGGGGAUCAAACAGGAUUAGAUACCCUGGCAGUCCACGCCCUAAACUAUGGAUACUCGACAUACGCGAUACACUGUGUGUGUCUGAGCGAAAGCAUUAAGUAUCCCACCUGGGAAGUACGAUCGCAAGAUUG
This 368-nucleotide ribosomal RNA is filed under the name uncultured organism. RNAcentral's name for it is "bacterial SSU rRNA". It matches the Rfam family "Bacterial small subunit ribosomal RNA", at positions 526 to 896 of the family's 1533-position model. The record is from RNAcentral.